RNAcentral lists this unclassified non-coding RNA (4479 nucleotides) under Pomacea canaliculata. RNAcentral's name for it is "major facilitator superfamily domain-containing protein 6-like, transcript variant X2". Lineage: Eukaryota; Metazoa; Mollusca; Gastropoda; Architaenioglossa; Ampullariidae. The record is from RNAcentral.
AGGAAUCGGAGGGAAAGAAGAGAAGGGGAAGAGCACUUGAUACGUAGCAGAAAAUCGAUGUUCAGACCUGCGAGACUCGUAAUGAAGCGAACGCCAUCGCGGCACCCCGGCAUCGCUGCUGUGGUUUAGUGCACAUACACACACAGUUCCACAGACACACAGAGCUUCACAUACACACACAGUUCCACACACACACAGUUCCACAGACACACACAGGGGGGUGAGGGUGGUAAGAAAAACUCUGUGCACGCGUGAGGGCGUGCGUGUGAAUGCGUUCGGUGAAAAAGCACGCGCUGGGCAGGCAGGAAGACGGAGACAUCGAGCAGUGAGGGAGGGAGUCUAGGUUUGGCAGCAUCCACACUGUCCGCAGCUACUGCAGCGCCCCCUGCUGUGAUGGACACAGCCACACCAAUAUUCCUUCCCAAGCUUACUUAACGUCAGUCAUCUGCAAGCGGUGGAAGAAUAUUCUGUCCUUGGCUUCAGAAGCCGUUUCCGCAGCUGCAGUCGAUGCUUUGCGGGAGGACGGGAUGGUUCAGGACGUCCCGUUUACCCACUGACCGGUGAGUUCAGGGUGAAACCUCUCGUGUGCCUCCAGCCCGCUGUGAGUGGCGUCCCUUUACUGAGUUCUGGAUGAAAGCGUCAGCAACUGUGGUCUUCGACUGUGGCAUCGCGAGGCUGGGCGUUCUGGCAGUCGGCAGCCAGCAGAGGCCGACAUGAAUUAUGCAAAAUAACAAUAAAGUCAAACACAACUCGACGUUGUCUCCAUUCCUGGGACGAUCUCGGAGAGGACAGACAACUCUGCACCAGCCAUCUUCAUGGUUGUCUUCGUUGAAAUCCUCUGAACCUCGCCGGGUGCAGCGGUCCCCCCCACAGCAGCUUGACAGUCCUCCCGCUAAGUAAAGCCACCUUGGUGGCGCUGCCCACGGACUGACUCUUCGCCGCAGUGCCACCGGAGUGCCAAACAAGUUUCGAUCCGUCUACAGCAGCGACCUGACCUACUUCCACUCCAGGAACCCGGACAUUGGCAGAUUGUCGAUCGAGACCCCUUAGAGAAGUGCCAGCCCCAAACGUCACCAUGACAACAGAGUAUGAGCCCGAGGAGAAGCCAGAGCAGGAACGGAGGGACAGCUAUGAUUUCCAGUUCACGGCCAAGAAGCUCAACUCCGACCAGCAGAAGCAGGAGCCGAUUUCAGUCAGUAAGUUCGCUUUUAGGAGGGACUUCAUCGACUCCUUGUUCACUGUCGUCAACAAGGAUCUCCUGUUCUGUAAACUCUUUUAUUUCUUCUUCUUCGGGGCCUUCGGCUCGCUCUUCCCUCUGCUGGCCAUCUACUUCAAGCAGCUGGGCAUGAACGCCUCCCAGAGCGGAGUCCUCAUCGGCUUCAGACCCUUCAUUGAGUUCCUCAGCGUGCCGUUCUGGACAGGACUGGCGGACCGCUGGAGACGGGGCAAGGAGAUGCUCCUGUUUGCCAUCUUGUCUUGGGUGGUCUUCACGCUGGCUAUCGCUUUUGUCCAGCCGCCGGCCCACAAGUGCCUGGUGUACAACGGCACUCACACCGUUCUCGAAAUUCCGUACUCCGUGCGCACGCGCCGCGACGUCACUUCCGUUCAUGUGAUGGACGAAGAGAUUGCCCGGGAUCUCGAGAAGAACGUUUUGCCAGAUGAGAGCGUGCUGGUUUCUCUGGGAUCUUCGGACCAUCUCUUCGUUUCUCCCCAACAUCUGGACAAGCCACUGUCGAUUCCAAAGACUCUUUCUCCAUCUACUUUUGAUGACAACGUGGACCACGCUCCAUCAAGGGUCAAACGAGCGCGAUACAACCUUGACCCCAGCAAGAUCGUCAAUGCCAACGCCUCUGACCUCGCUGGCCUCAUCACAUCCAAACACUCGACGGUGGUCUACAAGCAGGACGAGGUGCAAUACGACUUCUUCAUCCUCUUCCUGCUGGUGAUCGUCGGCGAGUUCUUCAGUGCCCCUGCCAUCACCUUCGCGGAUUGUGUGACUUUGUCUCUGUUGGGCGAGGACACGGAGAACUACGGCAAGCAGCGCAUGUUCGGCUCCCUGGGCUGGGGGUUGUCCAUGUUCUUUGUGGGUAUGGCCCUGGACCACGCCACCACAUUCCCCAAGCACCCGUGCGGCGAGCAGCACCCUGCAGAAAAAAACUACACCGUGUGUUUCGCCGUCUUCUCCGUCCUGAUGUCCUGCGCCUUCCUGACAGCCCUGCAGUUCCGCUACGACUUCCACGGCCCCGGCCGGGACAUCGCCCUGGCGGAACUGAAAGAAAGAGUCAAGGACAAGGUCAAGAAGACGAUCACAGGGAGAAAGAAGAUGGACCGGGAGAGGCUGGUGGAGGAAGACACGGAUGAUGACAUGGAAUACACGAGGCCAGGGGAAGGUUACGGAACAUACACGUCGGAGGAGGGAAACGUGACCAAAGAUGCAACAGCCGGCAACAACAAACUGGCCGCAGAGUCCGACAAGCAUCUGAGGAUCAAACCAGGCCUGAAGAACGACAUGGUCACCGACGCUCUGAAGUCUCCAGGUGCUCUGGCACAUCGAGGCGCCUACCACAACACCAGUGGUACUGCCGUGCCUCCGGGCCGCUACACCUCCGAGCCUUUCUUCGGCAAAUGGCUGGCCGUGGUGCGCCUGCUGUGGUCGUACCAGUACCUCUCAGUCCUCGGCAUCGCUUGGUUCAUGGGCUUCGGCAUCGGCAUCAUCUUCACCUUCCUCUUUUGGCACCUGCAGGACCUGGGUGGCUCGCCUACCCUCUUCGGCGUGGCCUCCGUCAUCAACCACGUGUCGGAACUGCUCGCCUACUUCAUGAGCAGCAGGCUGCUGACUACCUUCGGUCAUGUGAAGGUCCUGUAUGCAGGUCUCCUGGGCAAUGUGGCGAGGUUUUUGUACAUCUCCUGGCUCCGCGAUCCGUGGUGGGUCUUGCCCUUCGAAUUUGUACAAGGUCUGACGCACGCGGCCGUGUGGGCCAGCUGCUGUGCCUUCGUGACGCACGCCAUCCCGGGUGAACUCAAGUCAUCGGCGCAGGGUAUUCUGCAGGCCCUGCAUCAUGGACUGGGGCGUGGCUGUGGAGCCGUCUUUGGUGGUCUCCUUGUCUAUCGCUUUGGGAGUGAAAUCACCUUCCGUGUGUACGGCGUCACCUGCGUGGUGGUGCUGGCGGCCUACGUGGGCGCUAAUUACUUCCUGCAGCGGCGCGGCCUCUUUGAUCACGACUCCACCUUCUCUCACGAGCUCAUGGAGGACAACGGACCGCACCUGGCUCCUCACGGCGUCCCCUCCGGCAUGGGCCGUAACCUGUCCAGUUCCAAGCUAACGGAGGACUGGCAGACCCAACAGAAAGAUUACGGCUCCACCACCAACGAUCGAGACAGGGAUUACACGGCAGACCAGAGGGACCCUUGGGGUGGCGCAGGUGGCUACUCCAAUGAAGGCUAUGGAGGCUCUCAACAGAGAGGAAGUAAUGCAUUUCAACAGGAUUUUACUCCGUUUUCUGAGCCACGUGACCGCGUGUUCAUCGGGGAGGCGCCCAGAAUCAGCACCCAGCUCUACCAUCAGCAGCCAGACAACAGCUUUGACCAGGAGUACGGGCCGUAACCCUGCUGACUGCGGACUCGCCCACAGGUGGCGCUGCGCUGCACCGCGUCAUGGGAAGCAAGAUGGCGAGUGUCUUGUUCAAACUGCAGGUCAUAGUUUACCAGUCCGAAUGUGAUGUGAUAGCAUAUAGUCUACAGAUAUCUGUACCCACAUUCCCUGAAUCAUUUUAUGGGACCCUUGGUAUUGGGCCUUCUGGAAAAAAUUCUGACAUCAAGACCAGUCGGAGCAGUUUUUCUCUAAGGCGACUGUAGUUCAAGACCAAACUUUUAGCCUGUGGCGCGAAGAAGGGUUCGUCUUAAGGGAGGGAGGUAAGGAGCACACGAAAUGCUUGUGACCUAAGUGGCUUUGCUUUCAUCUGGGCUGACAGUUACCCUUCCCACCCCAGCCGGAUCGAAUCCACUCUUUCUUGCCAAGGGGUGAAAGUUCGGCCUUUAAGGGAAGUUGAGAUUUCCACGUGGGGGAAUGACACAAUAAACACACUCAUUUUUCUAUUCUCUGAUUGUCAACGAGCAUCUGAAGCAAACCAAUGCAAAGCUUUGUCCACGUGGUACCACAGGAUAGUUAUUGCCAGCCAAGCUCUUGAUGUAUGCUUGAAUAUGACAAAUAACUUAUAAAACCUCCAUCUUUAAGGUUUUGAGCCUGUAUAAAUUUGAAGGUUUGGUGUAUGUGAAUGCAUGCACGUGCACACAAUGUAUCCUGGGUAAUACAAUGCAGUAAUGCUGUUCAAUAGGCCUCAAGUAACACUGGAGUUGUGUGCAUCACUAGCGACCUGUUGUAGGUUUAGUAUAUAUACUGUUAAAGUGCUGUAGCUUUGCCUUUUGAACUCAGCAUUUAAUGGUUUGAAGGAGCAAUAAAAUGUCGCUUAAUGUUUAAAU